RNAcentral lists this ribosomal RNA (253 nucleotides) under uncultured bacterium. RNAcentral describes it as "partial 16S ribosomal RNA". It matches the Rfam family "Bacterial small subunit ribosomal RNA", at positions 524 to 776 of the family's 1533-position model. The record is from RNAcentral.
UACGAAGGGGGCUAGCGUUGUUCGGAAUUACUGGGCGUAAAGGGCGCGUAGGCGGCGUGUCAAGUCAGGCGUGAAAGCCCCGGGCUCAACCUGGGAACCGCGCUUGAGACUGGCAUGCUCGAGUUCGGGAGAGGAUGGUGGAAUUCCCAGUGUAGAGGUGAAAUUCGUAGAUAUUCGGCGGAACACCAGUGGCGAAGGCGACUCACUGGCCCGAUACUGACGCUGAGGCGCGAAAGCGUGGGGAGCAAACAGG